AUUGAACGCUGGCGGAAUGCUUUACACAUGCAAGUCGAACGGUAGACGGGGGCAACCCCUCGGAGAGUGGCGAACGGGUGAGUAAUAUAUCGGAACGUGCCCAGUCGUGGGGGAUAACGUAGCGAAAGUUACGCUAAUACCGCAUACGAUCUACGGAUGAAAGCGGGGGAUCGCAAGACCUCGCGCGAUUGGAGCGGCCGAUAUCAGAUUAGGUAGUUGGCGGGUAACGGCCCACCAAGCCUCCGAUCAGUAACUGGUGUGAGAGCACGACCAGUCACACGGGCACUGAGACACGGGCCCGACUCCUACGGGAGGCAGCAGUAAGGAAUAUUGGUCAAUGGACGCAAGUCUGAACCAGCCAUGCCGCGUGAAGGAUGAAGGCCCUCUGGGUUGUAAACUUCUUUUAUCUGGGACGAAAAACGGGCUUUCUAGCUCACUUGACGGUACCAGAGGAAUAAGCACCGGCUAACUCCGUG
Molecule: ribosomal RNA, 476 nt
Filed under: uncultured bacterium
Lineage: Bacteria
Description: bacterial SSU rRNA
Rfam family: Bacterial small subunit ribosomal RNA
Source: RNAcentral